RNAcentral lists this ribosomal RNA (253 nucleotides) under uncultured bacterium. RNAcentral describes it as "partial 16S ribosomal RNA". It matches the Rfam family "Bacterial small subunit ribosomal RNA", at positions 524 to 776 of the family's 1533-position model. The record is from RNAcentral.
CACGUAGGGGGCAAGCGUUGUCCGGAAUUAUUGGGCGUAAAGAGCUCGUAGGCGGCUCGGUAAGUCAGGUGUCAAAUCCUCAGGCUCAACCUGGGGCUCCACCUGAUACUGCUGUGGCUAGAGUCCGGUAGGGGAGCGUGGAAUUCCUGGUGUAGCGGUGAAAUGCGCAGAUAUCAGGAGGAACACCGGUGGCGAAGGCGGUUCUCUGGGCCUUACCUGACGCUGAGGAGCGAAAGCGUGGGGAGCGAACAGG